UUGAAUUCCCCCUUCUCCCAAAUUCUCUCUCAAGCUCCCUCAUAAACCCUAGCUGCCUCCUUCCACCUCCGCCCUAAAGUCGCCUAAAUCUAUGGCUUCCAAAGCAAUUAAGAGCAUGUACUUGCUUCAUACGACUCCUACAUGUCUGGUUACUAUGGUUUCAAGGUCAGACAUUGAAGAAGCUUGGCCCAGACUUUAUUUCAUUCAAGUUCUAUGGUUGUCUCUGAUCUUGCUCCAUCUGCUCAUGGUUGUUCAAGCCCGAUCUUGACCUCUCCAGCUCAGAUCAAUGACUCUCCAAGCCUUUCUCACCACCUGGGAUAUUCUGAAACCCUAACCUUCGAGGUUCUUCUGAUUCUUUUAGAUCUGUUGUAGAUUUGUGUUUUCUCUAAGCUCUUAUACGUCUCCUCAAAGUUUCUUUCAAAACUUUACCUGCAAAAUCUUACCUUUUCCCAAUUUAGGGUAUUGUUAAGUCAUUUUAAAUCUUUCUGACUUUUAACAUGUUCUACUGUGUUUUUAUGUUGAUUCUUUUACUAUGUUUCUUAUAAUGUUCUUCUACUACGUUUUUAUGUUAAAAGCCUUAGUUCUUUUUUAAGGUUUAUGAUUUUAUUUUCUUUGUUGAUAUUUCUACCUGAUUUACUUGUUUUCAUCUCUAUACUCGAUUGAUGGGGGGGAAACCCUAGAUUCUAUGGUUCAUUCGAGUAUUGAGACUAUUUGUUAUGUGAUUAGUUUGUUCCUCAUCUCUGAACUUGUUUGGUUUAAAAAUCCUAAUUUCUUUAGACCUAUGCGAGUUUUUGAAGUUGUUUCGUCUAUUACUCAAUUGAGAUUCGAAAUAUUUGCCUUCUGUGGUUUUGAUUACCUACUAUCAGUAGAACUUGACCAUAUUUUAAGAAAAGGUCUUUAAUGGACUCUUUUGCAUGGUUAUGAUACCCUCUUCUCCCUAUUACUAAGUCGCCCUAUGUGACUACCAUGUGUCACUAUCUACAGACUUUGUAAUUAGUAUUGUUGCUUCUCUUUGCCAUGGUUUAACCUCACGUGUCUAAUAAUCGUGCACUCUUUAUAUAUGCUAAAUUUCCCUCUCAAAACAACCCUUAAUUGUGGACUGAUUUCAGACCUCCUUAUGCAAGUCUGAUUGAUUCUUCCCUUGUCUUGCUAAUUUCCCUAUUUUUUAGGUUGAUUUUGAAAAUUUCUCCUUAGCCUUCCGAUUCUCCUAUUUAUGACUUGGUUUAUUUGUAACUUUUAAUCCUUGACUCCUUGGUUUACUAUGUGCUCAUCGAUUUAUUGUGUUUCUUGCCUUACUUGGUCAACCGUGUAUUUAAAAAUUCUUCAUCAAUUAUUCUCUUAAUUAAACCCCUAUAUAUUUACCUCUAAUUGCCUACUUUGCAUAAGAUGCUUACUUGAUCUUCUUCCUUAAAAGUUCUCUUCCCUUUACUGUUUGAGUUUAAACUCUUUAAUUAUAGGAGGUUUUUAUACUUAUUGACUUUAAUUGGUAUACAGUUCCAUAAUUAUUUUUCUCCCUUAGUUUUUGCAUGUUUUUACACUAUAAAUACAUGGCUUUUGCAUUGACAAAACACACGAACGCCCUUAGUUUCCUGAACUCACACUUACAUUCAAAAAGCAUUCUCUCUUGUUACUUGUAUUGUGACCUAUUUUGAAGUCCUGUUACUUCUUUUACUGUACUUUGCCUCUUUGAAACUGAUAUGUCAUGUUUAAGAUUUUCAGCAAUCAUCAACAAUGUAUUUAUUUAAUAUAUUUACUUGCAUGUAUGUUUACUGUUUGUGCUCGGUUCUGCGUUUACUCUAGCAUGCUAUAACUUCCUUUUGUUAUGAACCCCAAGCCGCCUACCCCAAUGUGUUUGGAUGCUAAUGGUUUGUUUGAGGCACGACAUUAUUAAAUAUUAUUUUCUAUGGCUCAAACUUGAUUCCCGUGGAAUCAUAACCUUUAUGUCACCAUCAUGUGUUGUGUAUUCUUGUUGGUUUUGUAAGCAUAACAGCACUUUCUAUUGUUGUAUAUGCCCACGAUUAGCUAAUGCCUAAGUACAUAGGCUAUGUGGCAAUUUUCCCAUUCCCAAACUUGUUUAUGACUGUUCCCAGCACCUCUUCCCCUCUUCUUUACUUUCUGAGUUCUUUAAAACUAUGUUCUUCAUUUGCAAUAUCUCUUAGAUUUUAAGUUCUGCCACCCUUAUGUGAGCCUUGCCUUGGGACCCAUCGAGCUCCCUCUGAACUUGGACACUUUAGGACUGGCCCUUCCACACUGCACGUGUCCCUAUUCUGGUGAAACAAUUUGGGUGUGAGCACUGCCUGGAGUCCCAUUAAGGCUCUUAGGGAACUUUGACACACUCAGAUUGGAGAAAGGCUUUGGAUCAUGAUCGUUGGAGUUGGUUUACCUCAUAUUUCAGACAUGAAGUAUGAAUCUGGCUUUCCUUGGUUGUACUUUUUAAUUUCUUAUGUAUUCUUUUAUCUUUAUUCUGGGGCUGUAAUAAUUUGGUAAUAAACUCUUGG
RNAcentral lists this long non-coding RNA (2498 nucleotides) under Nicotiana benthamiana. RNAcentral describes it as "long non-coding RNA (NBEN_LNC007885)". The record is from RNAcentral. Lineage: Eukaryota; Viridiplantae; Streptophyta; Magnoliopsida; Solanales; Solanaceae.